Molecule: long non-coding RNA, 278 nt
Filed under: Nicotiana benthamiana
Lineage: Eukaryota; Viridiplantae; Streptophyta; Magnoliopsida; Solanales; Solanaceae
Description: long non-coding RNA (NBEN_LNC014954)
Source: RNAcentral
CUACUUCAUGAUUCUCAUCGUAAUCAGUAGCUGACUGAUGAUGUGUGGCUGACCAAACAUCACCGAAGUAUCCACGCCCAAUCCUGUGUCUAAGUUUGAUUGACGCAGCAUCAAUGUAAGGACCAGGUAGGGUAGGUGCCCAAUCCUGUGUCUAAGUUUGAUUGAUGCAGGAUCAAUAUAAGGACCAGGUGGGGUAGGUGCAGCAACAACAGUUCUAAGAUGAUCAGGAUCUCCGUCAUAAAGCUCAAAAUCGAAAGAGGUUGCCAAAGGAGAUACUU